RNAcentral lists this ribosomal RNA (435 nucleotides) under uncultured bacterium. Its description in RNAcentral is "bacterial SSU rRNA". It matches the Rfam family "Bacterial small subunit ribosomal RNA", at positions 72 to 510 of the family's 1533-position model. The record is from RNAcentral.
AGCAAUACUUUGAUGAGAGUGGCGCACGGGUGCGUAACGCGUAUGCAACCUACCUUUAACUGGGAGAUAGCCCCGAGAAAUCGGGAUUAAUACCCCAUAACAUUACGAAUUGGCAUCAAUUUGUGAUUAAAGCUCCGGCGGUUAGAGAUGGGCAUGCGUGACAUUAGCUGGUUGGUGAGGUAACGGCUCACCAAGGCAACGAUGUCUAGGGGUCCUGAGAGGGUUAUCCCCCACACUGGUACUGAGACACGGACCAGACUCCUACGGGAGGCAGCAGUAAGGAAUAUUGGUCAAUGGGCGCAAGCCUGAACCAGCCAUGCCGCGUGCAGGAAGACGGCCCUAUGGGUUGUAAACUGCUUUUAUCAGGGAAUAAACCCCCGCUCGUGAGCGGGGCUGAAGGUACCUGAGGAAUAAGCAUCGGCUAACUCCGUGCCA